This 516-nucleotide ribosomal RNA is filed under the name uncultured bacterium. RNAcentral describes it as "bacterial SSU rRNA". It matches the Rfam family "Bacterial small subunit ribosomal RNA", at positions 771 to 1288 of the family's 1533-position model. The record is from RNAcentral.
AACCGGAUUAGAUACCCUGGUAGUCCACGCCCUAAACGAUGUCUACUAGUUGUCGGGUUUUAAUUAACUUGGUAACGCAGCUAACGCGUGAAGUAGACCGCCUGGGGAGUACGGUCGCAAGAUUAAAACUCAAAGGAAUUGACGGGGACCCGCACAAGCGGUGGAUGAUGUGGAUUAAUUCGAUGCAACGCGAAAAACCUUACCUACCCUUGACAUGUACGGAAGGCCGAAGAGAUUUGGUUGUGCUCGAAAGAGAACCGUAACACAGGUGCUGCAUGGCUGUCGUCAGCUCGUGUCGUGAGAUGUUGGGUUAAGUCCCGCAACGAGCGCAACCCUUGUCAUUAGUUGCUACAUUUAGUUGAGCACUCUAAUGAGACUGUCGGUGACAAACCGGAGGAAGGUGGGGAUGACGUCAAGUCCUCAUGGCCCUUAUGGGUAGGGCUUCACACGUCAUACAAUGGUACAUACAGAGGGCCGCCAACCCGCGAGGGGGAGCUAAUCCCAGAAAGUGUAUCG